This 505-nucleotide ribosomal RNA is filed under the name uncultured soil bacterium. RNAcentral describes it as "bacterial SSU rRNA". It matches the Rfam family "Bacterial small subunit ribosomal RNA", at positions 26 to 508 of the family's 1533-position model. The record is from RNAcentral.
AGAUUGAACGCUGGCGGCAGGCCUAACACAUGCAAGUCGAGCGGCAGCACGGGUACUUGUACCUGGUGGCGAGCGGCGGACGGGUGAGUAAUGCCUAGGAAUCUGCCUGGUAGUGGGGGAUAACGCUCGGAAACGGACGCUAAUACCGCAUACGUCCUACGGGAGAAAGCAGGGGACCUUCGGGCCUUGCGCUAUCAGAUGAGCCUAGGUCGGAUUAGCUAGUUGGUGAGGUAAUGGCUCACCAAGGCGACGAUCCGUAACUGGUCUGAGAGGAUGAUCAGUCACACUGGAACUGAGACACGGUCCAGACUCCUACGGGAGGCAGCAGUGGGAAUAUUGGACAAUGGGCGAAAGCCUGAUCCAGCCAUGCCGCGUGUGUAGAAGAAGGUCUUACGGAUUAGGUAAAAGCUAACGUUUUAAAGGUUGGGAAGGAAAGGGCAAGUUACCUAAUACGUAUCUUGUUUGAACGUUACCGACAAGAAUAACGCACCGGCUAACUCUGUCG